AUGCACAAAUAUGCCAACAAAAGCCAGAGGGAGCUGUAGUGGAGGAAAAAACAAAUAUAAAAGAAGAACAACAUACUAAACCAUGCUAUAAAGGUCUGGAAUGGAGAUUAACCUUCCAUUUAUCUAAAGGCUUUAAAUGAACAAGAAAAAUGUGCUACAUACCAUAUAGAAUUUGGAAGUUACAAGCAAUGAUCCAUAUAUGAAACUUGGUAGCUGAUCCAGGGAGGAUGAGAAAAGAUUGCUCCAAGAGUUUUUUCCAUCAACAAAUCACAUCCGAGAACAAGAGAGGUUAGUUGUAUUAAAUCAAAUCCUCAUUAUUGUUUCUGGGAUUUCUUGCCGAGGCUUUUAAUCCAGCUGAGGGUCAAAAUCUUCUUCCCAAGUUUGCUCUUGUUAGACCCAUCUUUCCCCUUCUUCUUGUCAUUGUCUGAUGCAGGUGGUAGAGGCUCGGGGUCCCAUUGGUCAGCCCAAGAAAGGCCCUCAGAUUUAUACACAUCCAUUUUUCUUCGGUCUCCUCAAACCUCCACUCUGCACGUUGCCCAGACAGGGAUUUGCAAAGGGAGAGAUUAACCGAAAGGAUAAGUACCAAUUAUUUGCUCUCGUCUACAACCGGGAAAUGACUCUGAUCCCGGAUGAAUAUCUUCCAGCAAGCCUCACAAAAUGCGAAGCUUGAAAAUAUAUGCAAACAAGUAAAACCAUUGCUUGAUUCUCUCUCCUCUCUCGUCCAUCCUGAAAUUAAUCUGCACCUCUAGUUGUAUAAUAGACUAUGAAAGGAAGAGUUGCUGCGCUUAAAAAUGAUGGACGGUCUAAAAGAGGGUACCAUUUGAAAUUCUCUCUCUUCUUCUUUGUCCAGAGUAAAUACAUUUGCAAGGUACAAUAUCCUCUCUUCAUUAAUUCCGCUUGAGAUACUCAACAGAAGUUACUUUCAGGGGUACAAGGUAGUCAUUUGGCCAAACCACCUUCCAAGGCAGUCAAAACGUAAUUAAGCCAACAGACAUAAAAUCUCGUUUUAGGGACGCAAACAGCGUCCCAGACAGGGGCAGGCCAGACCAACAAAGCGCAAUUUCGAGAAUUAACUUUCUUGUUUUGGUACGAUGUUUGAAAUCCAAAUCAGGGUCUAAGUUCCUAAAUUCUGCUAAUUCUACCCUAAAUUUACACCGCGAUACACUGCACCAGGACACAGAUCAUCCAGGCUAUCGAUGUUUCGGUAACCAUCGUACUCUCUCAGACACGUCCAUCCUCGACGAGACAAAAAAUCACGAAAGUCAUCCUCACUGUAAAACGUUUUAUCCUCAGUGUGCACUGGCAAGUCAUCUGCUUCCUCGUACAGACAGAAUUUAAUUGUCAGACCUGCGAAUCAGAAGAAUUACUUAAAAGAGAUCUCACCAGAAGAAUUUAAAUGUCAGACCUGAGAGCUGGGCCAUGGUAUUUAGUUCCAAACACAAUCUACACCAGGCCUCAGUCCAGAAUUACUAUAAAAUGCUAGUAAUAUUUGUCUAUUUUAUAAUUAAGAAUAAAGAAAUGUGCAUCACCAUGACCAUAGCAAGAACACUGGUCGGAACUAAUUUAUCACCGUGAAUUGCUUUAGAAGUGUAAUGCAGGACCGUUAACCAUCUUCUGGCUGUUAAAAAGCAUACAAGUGUAGCAUUACCUUCAUCAACAUGGAGGGUAUAGUUCCCCAAGGGCAUAUCCCUAUCAAGAGUUCGGACAAUGUUACUAUCAUCCUCCAGCCAAAAUGCACGCUUCGUCCUUAACCUGAAAGUGGCCUUGAUAGCUUCCUUGAUGCCAUCAGGAGUGCCGUCUAUACCAAUUCUUUUUGUGUAAUCCCCCCACUUGACAGAUAUGACCCUCCCCUCAUAUGAUGCAUUCUGAUGACCUGCCCAAGGACAAAGUGAAACAAAACAAGAAAGAAAAAAUUAUUACAGAUCUUAAGACUUGUCCAAGUCCAUGACAUUGUGCUCCGCAGCUACUGAAAUCUGACUGUCUAUGCUACAAAGAAAAGAAAUACCAAAUCGAAUUUGCACAAGGUUCACUACCAAGUUUAUUGAGUUUUCAUCUGAGAUCACGGAUAACCAGCGAGAGUGAACUUCCAAAGGAAGCAGACUGCAAAUUUUACAUUAAACAUUUAUUUUGACUACUCAUUUCUUCUUUGGAAACAAUAGCUGCCCUAUCCUAUUUAGCUUCCGUAUCUACUCUCUCGAGCUAGUACCAUUAAUAGAACAUUACGUAAGGUACAUAGCCCUGCCUCAACUUGAAAGGGUAAGGCUGCCUAUUCCUAAACCUUCCUAAACCAAGAAUGUUACUUCCAAACUAAUCAUUUGUGUGAGACUUGAGAUUGACUUCACCUCAAGGCUGUAGAGCUACCAUUUCAAAUACCAAAUUAUUAUCUUAGUCAUCCAAGGUUAUUGCAUAGUAUAUAUCACGGUGUUUUCAAGAUCUCAAUAUUUUCUUUUAAUUUUAAUUGGGUGAUUACUCUCGAUCAAGGAAUUAGCACCACUGAGUAUGAUAGGGGCACGAUUUACACACACACAUAUCCAUCUUGUUACCGGAAGAUAACUAUGGUUUUGUCCAGCCCCAAAAAAUAGAUUAGAGUUAUGUUUAAGAAGGAAUCAAUUGCAUCCCCGACCAAAAGCAACAUUUAUAAGAAGCAUAAAAACUGUAUGCUGCUUGUUGAAAUUUGGAUGCAUUAUUCUAACCAUUUCCAGGAUUCUCUCUCCAGUUCCAGGGGGAAACUUCACUAGCUGCAACUGCUUCUGUUGCAGUGAUGGCCAGAGGAUGCCCAUCAUGAUCCAACCGCCUUUCCAAGUUAAGGGGCUGCCUACC
RNAcentral lists this long non-coding RNA (2820 nucleotides) under Coffea arabica (coffee). Its description in RNAcentral is "long non-coding RNA (CARA_LNC007988)". The record is from RNAcentral. Lineage: Eukaryota; Viridiplantae; Streptophyta; Magnoliopsida; Gentianales; Rubiaceae.